GCAUAACGCGAAGAACCUUACCUACUCUUGACAUCCAGAGAACUUGGCAGAGAUGCUUUGGUGCCUUCGGGAACUCUGAGACAGGUGCUGCAUGGCUGUCGUCAGCUCGUGUUGUGAAAUGUUGGGUUAAGUCCCGCAACGAGCGCAACCCUUAUCCUUUGUUGCCAGCGGUUAGGCCGGGAACUCAAAGGAGACUGCCAGUGAUAAACUGGAGGAAGGUGGGGAUGACGUCAAGUCAUCAUGGCCCUUACGAGUAGGGCUACACACGUGCUACAAUGGCAUAUACAAAGAGAAGCGACCUCGCGAGAGCAAGCGGACCUCAUAAAGUAUGUCGUAGUCCGGAUUGGAGUCUGCAACUCGACUCCAUGAAGUCGGAAUCGCUAGUAAUCGUGGAUCAGAAUGCCACGGUGAAUA
Molecule: ribosomal RNA, 414 nt
Filed under: uncultured bacterium
Lineage: Bacteria
Description: bacterial SSU rRNA
Rfam family: Bacterial small subunit ribosomal RNA
Source: RNAcentral